AACGAACGCUGGCGGCAUGCCUAACACAUGCAAGUCGAACGAGACCUUCGUGUCUAGUGGCGCACGUGUGCGUAACGCGUGGGAACCUGCCCUUAGGUUCGGAAUAACUCCCCGAAAGGGGUGCUAAUACCGGAUAAUGUCUUCGCACCAAAGAUUUUUCGCCUUUGGCUGGGCCCGCGUUUGUUUAGCUAGUUGGUAGGGUAAAAGCCUACCAAGGCGACGAUCCAUGGCUGGUCUGAGAGGAUGAUCAGCCACACUGGGACUGAGGCACGGACCAGAAUGCUACGGGAGGGAGCAGUGUGGAAUAUUAGACGAUGAGCGAAAGUCUGGUACAGCAAUGCCGCGUGAGUGAUGAAGGCGUUAGGGUUGUAAAGCUCUUUUACCCGGGAUGAUAAUGACAGUACCGGGAGAAUAAGCUCCGGCUAACUCCGUG
Molecule: ribosomal RNA, 433 nt
Filed under: uncultured bacterium
Lineage: Bacteria
Description: partial 16S ribosomal RNA
Rfam family: Bacterial small subunit ribosomal RNA
Source: RNAcentral